GACGAAGAACGCAGCGAAAUGCGAUACGUAAUGUGAAUUGCAGAAUUCAGUGAAUCAUCGAAUCUUUGAACGCAUAUUGCGCUCUCUGGUAUUCCGGAGAGCAUGCUUGUUUGAGUAUCAGUAAACACCUCAACUUCCAUAUCUUUUUUGAAAUGGGAGUUGGACUUGAGUGAUCCCAACGCUUUUCCUCACCGAAAAGUGGCGGGUUACUUGAAAUGCAGGUGCAGCUGGACUUUUCUCUGAGCUAUAAGCAUAUCUAUUUAGUCUGCCUAAAAAACAGAUUAUUACCUUUGCUGCAGCUAACAUAAAGGAGAUUAGUUCUUGUGCUGACUGAUGCAGGAUUCACAAAGACGGCUUCGGCCGACUUUGUAAACUCGAUCUCAAAUCAAGUAAGACUACCCGCUGAACUUAAGCAUAUCAAUAAGCGGAGGA
This 432-nucleotide unclassified non-coding RNA is filed under the name soil metagenome. RNAcentral describes it as "partial contains 5.8S ribosomal RNA, internal transcribed spacer 2, and large subunit ribosomal RNA". The stretch from base 1 to 120 matches the Rfam family "5.8S ribosomal RNA", at positions 35 to 154 of the family's 154-position model. The record is from RNAcentral.